AAAUUGAAGAGUUUGAUCAUGGCUCAGAUUGAACGCUGGCGGCAGGCCUAACACAUGCAAGUCGAACGGUAGCACAGAGAGCUUGCUCUCGGGUGACGAGUGGCGGACGGGUGAGUAAUGUCUGGGAAACUGCCCGAUGGAGGGGGAUAACUACUGGAAACGGUAGCUAAUACCGCAUAACGUCGCAAGACCAAAGUGGGGGACCUUCGGGCCUCACACCAUCGGAUGUGCCCAGAUGGGAUUAGCUAGUAGGUGGGGUAACGGCUCACCUAGGCGACGAUCCCUAGCUGGUCUGAGAGGAUGACCAGCCACACUGGAACUGAGACACGGUCCAGACUCCUACGGGAGGCAGCAGUGGGGAAUAUUGCACAAUGGGCGCAAGCCUGAUGCAGCCAUGCCGCGUGUAUGAAGAAGGCCUUCGGGUUGUAAAGUACUUUCAGCGAGGAGGAAGGCGUUGUGGUUAAUAACCACAGCGAUUGACGUUACCCGCAGAAGAAGCACCGGCUAACUCCGUGCCAGCAGCCGCGGUAAUACGGAGGGUGCAAGCGUUAAUCGGAAUUACUGGGCGUAAAGCGCACGCAGGCGGUUUGUUAAGUCAGAUGUGAAAUCCCCGGGCUCAACCUGGGAACUGCAUUUGAAACUGGCAAGCUUGAGUCUCGUAGAGGGGGGUAGAAUUCCAGGUGUAGCGGUGAAAUGCGUAGAGAUCUGGAGGAAUACCGGUGGCGAAGGCGGCCCCCUGGACAAAGACUGACGCUCAGGUGCGAAAGCGUGGGGAGCAAACAGGAUUAGAUACCCUGGUAGUCCACGCCGUAAACGAUGUCUACUUGGAGGUUGUGCCCUUGAGGCGUGGCUUCCGGAGCUAACGCGUUAAGUAGACCGCCUGGGGAGUACGGCCGCAAGGUUAAAACUCAAAUGAAUUGACGGGGGCCCGCACAAGCGGUGGAGCAUGUGGUUUAAUUCGAUGCAACGCGAAGAACCUUACCUGGUCUUGACAUCCACGGAAGUUUUCAGAGAUGAGAAUGUGCCUUCGGGAACCGUGAGACAGGUGCUGCAUGGCUGUCGUCAGCUCGUGUUGUGAAAUGUUGGGUUAAGUCCCGCAACGAGCGCAACCCUUAUCCUUUGUUGCCAGCGGUUAGGCCGGGA
Molecule: ribosomal RNA, 1143 nt
Filed under: Salmonella enterica
Lineage: Bacteria; Pseudomonadati; Pseudomonadota; Gammaproteobacteria; Enterobacterales; Enterobacteriaceae
Also listed under: 1 other name
Description: bacterial SSU rRNA
Rfam family: Bacterial small subunit ribosomal RNA
Source: RNAcentral